Molecule: ribosomal RNA, 510 nt
Filed under: Funneliformis mosseae
Lineage: Eukaryota; Fungi; Glomeromycota; Glomeromycetes; Glomerales; Glomeraceae
Description: SSU rRNA
Rfam family: Eukaryotic small subunit ribosomal RNA
Source: RNAcentral
AGCAGCCGCGGUAAUUCCAGCUCCAAUAGCGUAUAUUAAAGUUGUUGCAGUUAAAAAGCUCGUAGUUGAAUUUCGGGAUCAAUAUUUCGGUCGUGCCGUUGGUAUGCACUGUUAUCAUUGAUUUCUCACCUUCUAAAGAACCGUAAUGCCAUUAAUUUGGUGUUACGGGGAAUUAGGACUGUUACCUUGAAAAAAUUAGAGUGUUUAAAGCAGGCUCACGCUUGAAUACAUUAGCAUGGAAUAAUGAAAUAGGACAUCCGAUUCUAUUUUGUUGGUUUCUAGGAUCGAUGUAAUGAUUAAUAGGGAUAGUUGGGGGCAUUAGUAUUCAAUUGUCAGAGGUGAAAUUCUUGGAUUUAUUGAAGACUAACUACUGCGAAAGCAUUUUGCCAAGGAUGUUUUCAUUAAUCAAGAACGAAAGUUAGGGGAUCGAAGACGAUCAGAUACCGUCGUAGUCUUAACCAUAAACUAUGCCGACUAGGGAUCGGAUGAUGUUAAUUUUUUAAUGACUCA